AUUCAAUGAUGAGAUUCCACUUCAUGGUCCGUGUUUCUGAGUAACUGAUUAUGUUGGAAGUUCUGAGACU
This is a small nucleolar RNA of Puntigrus tetrazona (Sumatra barb), 70 nucleotides long. RefSeq annotates it as small nucleolar RNA SNORD18. The record is from RefSeq and is a predicted model, not a curated record. The transcript has a single exon. Lineage: Eukaryota; Metazoa; Chordata; Actinopteri; Cypriniformes; Cyprinidae.